Molecule: long non-coding RNA, 4784 nt
Organism: Lagopus muta (rock ptarmigan)
Lineage: Eukaryota; Metazoa; Chordata; Aves; Galliformes; Phasianidae
Exons: 2
Source: RefSeq, a predicted model, not a curated record
AAAAAGGAAGGGGAAAUGGGGAGGUGGAAAUGGAGGAAGGGAAGGGAACAGGAAAUAAAUGGGGGGAGUGGGGAGUGUGAGGGGAAAAAGGGAAGAGGGAAAAGAGAGAGGAAAAGAGGAAAUGGAGAGGGAAGGAGGAAGGGGGAAGUGGAAGGAAGAGGGAAUGGGGAGAGGAAAUGGGGAGGGAAGGAGGAAAAAGGAAGGGAAGGGGAAAUGGAGGGGGGAAAGGAAAGGAAGAGAGGGGAUGGGGGUGGAAGAAAUGGGGAGGGAAGGAGGAAGGGGAAGAGGGAAAAGGAAGGGAAGGGGAAAUGGAGGGGGAAAGGGAAAGGAAAAGAAGGAGGAAAUGAAAUGGAAGGAGGAAGGGGAAAUGGGAAGGAAAGGAAGAGGGGAUGGGGGAGGGAAGGAGGAAAAAGGAAGGGAAGGGGAAAUGGAGGGGGAAAGGAAAGGAAGAGGGGAUGGGAGGAAAUGGGGAGGGAAAGAGGAAGGGGAAGGAAAAAGGAAGGGAAGGGGAAAUGGAAAGAGGGAAAGGGAAAGGAAGAGGGGAUGGGGGGAGGAAAUGGGAAGGGAAAGAGGAAGGGAAAGAGGAAAAAGGAAGGGAGGGGAAAUGGAGGGAGAAAGGGACAGGAAAAGAAGGAGGAAAGGAAAUGGAGAGGGAAGGAGGAAGGGGAAAUGGGAAGGGAAAGGAAGAGGGGAUGGGGGGAGUAAAUGGGGAGGGAAGGAGGGAAAAGGAAGGGAAGGGGAAAUGGAGGGGGAAAGGGAAAGGAAGAGGGGAUGGGGAGAGGAGAGUAGGAAGGGAAAGGGAAAAGGAAGGGAAGAGGAAAUGGAAAGGGGGAAAGGGAAAGGAAAUGGACAGGGAAGGAGGAAGGGGAAAUGGAAAGGGGGGAAGGGAAAGGGAGAGGGGAUGGAGAGAGGAAAUGGGAGAGAAAGAGGAAAAAGGAAGGGGAAAUGGAGGGGAAAAGGGAAAGGAAGAGGGGAUGGGAGAAAGGAUGAGGGGAAGGAAAAAUGGAGGAAAAAUGAGAGAAAAUGAGGGAAAAAUGGAAUUAAGAGGAAAAAUGGAGGAAAAAUGAGAGAAAAUAAUGGAAAAUGGAAUUAAAGGGAAAAAUGGAGGAAAAAUGAGGGAAAAUGGAAUUAAAAAGAAGGAAUGGAGAAAAAAUGAGGGAGAAUGAAUAAAGAUGGAAGAAAAUGGGAAAGUGGAAUAAAAGUGAGGAGAAAUGGGGGAAAAUGGGGUGAAAUGGAAUAAAGGGGAGAAACGUGGAGGGAAAAUGGGAUAAAAAUGAGAGAAAAUGAGGGAAAAUGGGAUUAAAAGGGAAAAAAAUGGAGGAAAAAUGGAAUUAAAAAGAAAAAUGGAGGAGAAGUGAGAAAAAAUGAGGGAAAAUGAUGGAAAAAAAAUGGAUUUAAAAGGAAAAAAUGGAGGAAAAAUGAGAGAAAAUGAGGGAAAAAUGGAAUUAAAAAGAAAAAGUGAGAAAAAAUGAGGGAAAAUGGAAUUAAGAGGAAAAAAUGGAGGGAAAAUGAUGGAAAAAAAUGGAUUUAAAAGGAAAAAUGGAGGAAAAAUGAGGGAAAAUGGAAUUAAAAGGAAAAGAAUGGAGGAAAAAUGAGGGAAAAAUGGAAUCGAGAGAGAAAAAUAAGGGAAAAAUGGAAUUAAAAGGAAAAAAUGGAGGAAAAAUGGAAUUAAAAAGAAAAAAUGGAGAAAAAGUGAGAAAAAAUGAGGGGAAAUGGAAUUAAGAGGAAAAAAUGGAGGGAAAAUGAUGGAAAAAAUGGAUUUAAAAGGAAAAAUGGAGGAAAAAUGGAAUUAAAAGGAAAAAAUGGAGGAAAAAUGAGAGAAAAUGAGGGAAAAAUGGGAUUAAAAGGAAAAAAAUUGAGGAAAAAUGUGGGAAAAAUGAUGGAAAAUGGAAUUAAAGGGAAAAAUGUGGGAAAAAUGAGGGAAAAAAUGGAAUUAAAAGGAAAACUGGAGGAAAAAUGAGGGAAAAAUGGAAUCAAGAGAGAAAAACAAGGGAAAAAUGGAAUUAAAAGGAGAAAAUGGAGGAAAAAUGAGGGAAAAUGGGGGAAAAAUGGAAUUAAAAGGAAAAACGAGGGAAAAUGGAAAUAAAAGGAAUAAAUGGAGGAAAAAUGGUGUAAAAAUGAGGGAAAAUUGAAUGAAAAGGAAAAACUGGAGGAAAAAUGAGGGAAAAUGGAAUUAAAAAGUGGAGGAAAAAUGUGGAAAAAAUGGAAUUAUAAGGAAAAACUGGAAUUAAAAUGAGGGCAAAUGGAGUUAAAAACCAGUGGAAAAAUGGGGAAAAAUGGAAUUAUAAGGAAAAACUGGAGGAAAAAUGAGGGAAAAUGGAAUUAAAAGGAAAAAAUGGAGGAAAAAUGAGGGAAAAUGGAAUUAAAAACCGGUGGAAAAAUGGGGAAAAAAUGGAAUUAUAAGGAAAAACCGGAGUAAAAAUGAAGGAAAAUGGAAAUAAAAGGAAAAAAUGGAGUUAAAAAUGAGGGAAAAUGGAAUUAAAAACCGGAGGAAAAAUGAGGAAAAAAUGGAAUUAAAAGGAAAAACCGAAGUAAAAAUGAGGGCAAAUGGAGUUAAAAACUGGAGGAAAAAUGUGGAAAUAAUGGAAUUAUAAGGGAAAACUGGAGUAAAAAUGAGGGAAAAUGGAAUUUAAAACCGGUGGGAAAAUGGGGAAAAAUGGAAUUAUAAGGAAAAACUGGAAGUAAAAUGAGGGAAAAUGGAGUUAAAAACCAGAGGAAAAAUGGGGAAAAAUGGAAAUAAAAACUGGAGGAAAAAUGAGAGAAUAUGGAGUUAAAAACUGGUGGAAAAAUGGGGAAAAAUGGAAUUAUGAGGAAAAACCGAAGGAAAAAUGAGGGAAAAUGGAAAUAAAACAAAUAAACGGAGGAAAAAUGGUGUGAAAAUGAGGGAAAAUGGAAUGAAAAGGGAAAACUGGAGGAAAAAUGAGAAAAAAUGUGGGAAAAUGGAAUUAAAGGGAAAAACUGGAGGAAAAAUGUGGAAAUAAUGGAAUUAUAAGGAAAAACUGGAGAUAAAAAUGAGGGAAAAUGGAAUUAAAAACCGGUGGAAAAAUGGGGAAAAAAUGGAAUUGUAAGGAAAAAAUGGAUUAAAAAUGAGGGAAAAUGGAGUUAAAAACCGGAGGAAAAAUGGGGAAAAAUGGAAAUAAAAACUGGAGGAAAAAUGAGGAAAAAUGGAAUUAAAAACUGGUGGAAAAAUGGGGAAAAAAUGGAAUUGUAAGGAAAAACUGGAGUAAAAAUGAGGGAAAAUGGAGUUAAAAGCCAGUGGAAUUAUGAGGAAAAAAUGGAAAUAAAAACUGGAGGAAAAAUGAGGGAAAAUGGAAAUAAAAGGAAAAAAUGGAGUAAAAAUGAGGGAAAAUGGAGUUAAAAACCGGUGGAAAAAUGAGGAAAAAAUGGAAUUGUAAGGAAAAACUGGAGGUAAAAUGAGGGCAAAUGGAGUUAAAAGGAAAAACUGGAGGGAGAAAUGAAAGAAAAUGGAGUUAAAAACCGGUGGAAAAAUGGGGAAAAAUGGAAUUAUGAGGAAAAACUGGAGUAAAAAUGAGGGAAAAUGGAGUUAAAAACCGGUGGAAAAAUGGGGAAAAAAUGGAAAUAAAAUCUGGAGGAAAAUGAGGGAAAAUGGAAUUAAAAGGAAAAACCGGAGGUAAAAUGAGGGCAAAUGGAGUUAAAAACCAGAGGAAAAAUGUGGAAAUAAUGGAAUUAUAAGGGAAAACUGAAGUAAAAAUGAGGGAAAAUGGAAUUUAAAACCGGUGGAAAAAUGGGGAAAAAUGGAAAUAAAAACUGGAGGAAAAAUGAGGGCAAAUGGAGUUAAAAAACCGGUGGAAAAAAUGGGGAAAAAAUGGAAUUAUAAGGAAAAAAUGGAAUAAAAAUGAGGGAAAAUGGAGUUAAAAACCAGUGGAAAAAUGUGGAAAUAAUGGAAUUAUAAGGGAAAACUGGAGGAAAAAUGAAGGAAAAUGGAAUUAAAAACCGGAGGAAAAAAUGGAAUUAUAAGGGAAAACUGGAGAUAAAAAUGAGGGCAAAUGGAGUUAAAAACCGGUGGAAAAAUGAGGAAAAAAUGGAAUUAAAAGGAAAUACUGAAGUAAAAAUGAGGGAAAAUGGAAUUAAAAACCGGUGGAAAAAUGGGGAAAAAAUGGAAUUAUAAGGAAAAAAUGGAAUAAAAAUGAGGGAAAGUGGAGUUAAAAACCAGUGGAAAAAUGUGGAAAUAAUGGAAUUAUAAGGGAAAACUGGAGGAAAAAUGAAGGAAAAUGGAAUUAAAAAGGAAAAAAUGGAAUUAUAAGGAAAAACUGGAGGAAAAAUGAGGGCAAAUGGAGUUAAAAACCGGUGGAAAAAUGGGGAAAAAUGGAAAUAAAAACUGGAGGAAAAAUGAGGGAAAAUGGAAUUAAAAGGAAAAACCGGAGGUAAAAUGAGGGUAAAUGGAGUUAAAAACGAGUGGAAAAAUGAGGAAAAAAUGGAAUUAAAAGGAAAUACUGAAGUAAAAAUGAGGGAAAAUGGAAUUAAAAACCGGAGGAAAAAUGAGGAAAAAAUGGAAUUAUAAGGGAAAACUGGAGAUAAAAAUGAGGGCAAAUGGAGUUAAAAACCGGUGGAAAAGUGGGGAAAAAAUGGAAUUAUAAGGGAAAACUGGAGGAAAAAUGAGAGAAAAUGGAGUUAAAAACUGGUGGAAAAAUGGGGAAAAAAUGGAAUUAUGAGGAAAAACUGGAGUAAAAAUGAGGGAAAAUGGAAUCAAAAGCCGGUGGAAAAAAUGAGGAAAAAACGGGAAUAAAAACUGGAGUAAAAAUGAGGGAAAAUGGAAAUAAAAG